This 3309-nucleotide ribosomal RNA is filed under the name Triticum aestivum (bread wheat). RNAcentral's name for it is "partial small subunit ribosomal RNA". The record is from RNAcentral. Lineage: Eukaryota; Viridiplantae; Streptophyta; Magnoliopsida; Poales; Poaceae.
AUGGAGCCGCGGCCUUCCCCGCCGCCGCAGCCGCCGACCCUCACGGCGCAGGAGUGGGAGCACCUCCUCGACGACUUCUCCUCCCCCCCACCCCGCCGCGACCGGUGGCUCCACCUGCCGCUGCUGGACCUGGCGCUCUCCUCCCUCCCCCGCCGCGACCUCCCCUCCCACCUCAAGCCGCUCCUGCUCGCCUUCGUCGACGACCACCUCCUCCCUCCCUCCGCCCCCGCGCGGCAACUCCCGCUCCUCCUCGCCUCGCUCCUCGCCUUCCCCGCCGACCACCCGCUCCGCGACCACCUCGUCGCCACCGCCGCCUCCGCCUUCGCGUCCGCUCUCUCCGCCCCGCUGGCCGACCCCGAGGGGGAGGCCCCGCCGCUCGCGGGGCUCGUCGGCGCGCUCCUCGCCGCCGCCAACCGCCCCAACCACGCCACCGACCGCGCCGCGCGCGCCCUCGCCUGCGACGCGCUCAGGGCGCUGGACGAGGCCCUGCCGGGGCUCCUCGCCGACGUGCUCGGCCACGCCUACGCGCUCGCCUCCGCCGAGCGCUCCCCCGCCGCGCAGUCCUACAUCCUCCUGCUCGCCUCCGCCGCGCGCGGCGCCGUCCGCCUCGGCAGGCUCGGAUCCAGCGCCUCCAUCCUCGCCGUCUCCGGCCCGCCCGUUCCAUUCUCAGUGCCUGCGCACCUCCUCUCCUCACCGCCGCCGCUCGCUUCUGCCGCACCCCCGUCGGAGCAGAACGUGAGGGAGAUCAGGAAGGUGCUCGCGCUGGUCAUGGAGAGGCCGCAGGUGCUGACGCCCGCGGCGGCAAUGGAGGUCACGGCCAUCGUCGCGGAGGUGGCGACGGCGGUGCUGGAGUGGGCGCCGGCCAUCGCGGCGCAUGUCAAAGUGCAGUUCAGUGGGAUGGCGUAUUCGUCGAGCCCGAUGCUGCUGCACUCGGUGCUCACGCUGUUCGCGAAGUUCCCCGAUGCGUUUGGAGCUGAGGAUGAGCGCAAGAUGGCGCGCCGCCUAGCUUCGGCUGCCUGCGAGGCGCACCGGCCACUGCCAGUGCGAUUGCUGGUGUUGCAUUGGCUGCUUGGGUCUGGGAGGUUCAGAGAUUCAGUGCCUGGACUUGCCAAAUGGUUCUAUCCUGGCAUGUUUGACCCCCUGGCGCUCAAGGCCAAGAAGCUGGACUGCCUUGGAUUUGUUGCUGCUACCGUUGACAGUGAUAAGGUUGAAGGAGGCAGUUACGGCCAGCAGACAACCGAGUUCAUCGAUGAUGGCUUAGUCUGUGUUUCGGCCUUCAGGUGGCUCCCGGCAUGGAGUACUGAGACAAGUGUUGCGUUCCGAGCGCUGCACAGGGUCUUGGUCGGCGCUGCUCCUCACGGCACGAAUGACAAGGGUUGCUCCGGAGCUGGUGAGCUCCUGAAUUCAACUACCUUCCACCAUUUCCAGGCUAUGCUGGUUGAUAUGGCAUCAGAACAUCGGAGUUUAGUCCCAGUCAUUGCUGAUUUCAUCAACCGCCUGCUAGCAUGCACCACACAUCGGUGGGUGGGGGAACAGUUGCUCCGAACCUUUGAUGAGUGCCUGCUUCCGAGGCUUGAACCGGGCUACCAGCUCGCAUCUUACUACCCUCUUUUUGAGAAGAUUGCACAGAAUGAGGCAGUCCCUCAGCUCCGCCUAAUUGAAUUGCUCACCAAGCAGAUGGUUUGUCUUGCCAAGAAGCAUGACCCGGACACAGAACUGAAGUCCUGGUCUCAGGGCAGCAAGGUUGUGGGCAUUUGUCGUAUCAUGCUGAAGCACCAUCACAGCUCUCAUAUAUUCCUUCCCCUGACCCACCUACUCGUGCGCACCAUCGAGUCAUUCCCAGACCUAGAGAUCCGGGACCAUGCAAGGAUAUGUUUGCGGAUGUUGUCUUGCAUUCCUGGCAAAAAACUGAGGAAUCUCAUGGGGAUUGGAGAGCAACCCACACCCUCGCAUCCGGGUUCCAUGUUUGAUGACCCAUCAGAACGUCCUGCUCAAGAUCCUAGCAGCAUGCCUGCUUUGGCAUCGUACAUUCAUCUUGAAAGAGUUGUGCCUCUGGUUGUGAAGCAGUCAUGGGCCCUCACAUUGCCUAAUUUCAGUGUCCAGAGCAGAGCGUCUGGUCACAUCAUAAGUAUACAGGAUGUGAGUGUGACUCCUCCAGAGCAAGAAAAGCCACCACAGCCUACCAUCGAGAGAAUUGGCUAUACACAAGAAGCGCUACGCGUGAUGGAUUCAAAGGGGGCUGAAACUUUGGAAAUCCUUAGAAGGCACUUUUCAUGCAUUCCUGAGUACCUGCACUCAUCUGGUGGUCUCAAAGUCAAAAUACAUUGCACAUUUAGAUUUGAUUCAGAGCCAUUUAACAGAGCUUGGGUAUCUGAUUCACCUGUUCCAAGUUCUGAAGGGGAAGAUGAGUUGCCUGCCCUUUAUGCAGUGACGAUUACCUUGUCAUCCAGUGCACAGUUUGGAAAAAUUCCCUCAUGUCAUGUGCCUUUCCUUUUGGGUGAGCCUCCAGCUUCCGGUGUGGACAUUGUCCCCGUAGAUAACUGCCACCAGGAAGAAUCAAGUUACCGGGCAUCAGUAAUGAUAGAACUGGAGCCUCGAGAGCCAUCACCUGGUCUUAUUGACGUCGAAAUCGCAGCAAACACAGAGAACUGCCAAGUCAUUUGUGGUUCUCUUAAGCCCAUUACAGUUGGCAUCGAGGACAUGUUUUUGAAGGCCAGUGUACCUCCUGAUACUCCAAAAGAUGGUACAGCUGAGUAUUACCAGGACCUGUUUCAUGCUCUAUGGGAGGCCUGUAACAGUUCCUCUAACACAGGCCGUGAGACAUUCCCUUUGAGUGGAGGGAAAGGGUUAGCUGCAAUCAGUGGAACCCGGUCUGUCAAGCUUCUUGAGGUGACUCCAAAGGUUCUGAUAGGAGCUCUUGAGAAAUACCUGGCUCCCUUUGUUGUCAGUGUUGCUGGGCGUUCACUUAUCACCAUUCUAAGAGGUAAUGGACUCAUUGAGAAUGUCGUGUGGGAAGAAAGUGACUCAGAUGCUGCUGUUGGUGCUGAUGCAUUGGUUCCAUACUCCAUGGAAAACAAUCUCCAGCUUCAGCACAUCGAUGAUGACGAAAUUGGGAUCGGUGCGCAGAGGUUUGCUCAUUUAAGCAAGAGGGAUAUGGGUGUCGUGCGCGUCCUGAUAUUCCUGCCACCCAGGUAUCACCUCCUCUUCUCAAUGGAAGUAGGCUAUGCCUCCACGCUGGUCAGGAUAAGAACAGAUCAUUGGCCAUGUUUGGCAUAUGUUGAUGAAUAUUUGGAGGCGUUGCUGCAAUAG